UACGUAGGUGGCAAGCGUUAUCCGGAUUUACUGGGUGUAAAGGGCGUGUAGGCGGGAGUGCAAGUCAGAUGUGAAAACCACGGGCUCAACCUGUGGCCUGCAUUUGAAACUGUACCUCUUGAGUACUGGAGAGGAGAGUGGAAUUCCAUGUGUAGCGGUGAAAUGCGUAGAUAUAUGGAGGAACACCGGUGGCGAAAGCGGCUCUCUGGCCUGUAACUGACACUGAGGCUUGAAAGCGUGGGGAGCAAACAGG
This 253-nucleotide ribosomal RNA is filed under the name uncultured bacterium. Its description in RNAcentral is "partial 16S ribosomal RNA". It matches the Rfam family "Bacterial small subunit ribosomal RNA", at positions 524 to 776 of the family's 1533-position model. The record is from RNAcentral.